GAUGAAGAACGUAGCGAACUGCGAUAAGUAAUGUGAAUUGCAGAAUUCAGUGAAUCAUCGAGUCUUUGAACGCACAUUGCGCCCCCUGGCAUUCCGGGGGGCAUGCCUGUCCGAGCGUCAUUGCUGCCCUUCAAGCCCGGCUUGUGUGUUGGGUCGUCGUCCCCCCCGGGGGACGGGCCCGAAAGGCAGCGGCGGCACCGCGUCCGGUCCUCGGGCGUAUGGGGCUUUGUCACCCGCUCGAUUAGGGCCGGCCGGGCGCCAGCCGGCGUCUCCAACCUUCUAUUUUACCAGGUUGACCUCGGAUCAGGUAGGGAUACCCGCUGAACUUAAGCAUAUCAAUAAGCGGAGGA
This 350-nucleotide unclassified non-coding RNA is filed under the name soil metagenome. RNAcentral describes it as "partial contains 5.8S ribosomal RNA, internal transcribed spacer 2, and large subunit ribosomal RNA". The stretch from base 1 to 120 matches the Rfam family "5.8S ribosomal RNA", at positions 35 to 154 of the family's 154-position model. The record is from RNAcentral.